ACGGGUGAGUAACGCGUAAUCAACCUGCCCUUCAGAGGGGGACAACAGUUGGAAACGACUGCUAAUACCGCAUACGAUCUAAUCUCGGCAUCGAGGAUAGAUGAAAGGUGGCCUCUACAUGUAAGCUAUCACUGAAGGAGGGGAUUGCGUCUGAUUAGCUAGUUGGAGGGGUAACGGCCCACCAAGGCGAUGAUCAGUAGCCGGUCUGAGAGGAUGAACGGCCACAUUGGGACUGAGACACGGCCCAGACUCCUACGGGAGGCAGCAGUGAGGAAUAUUGGUCAAUGGACGAAAGUCUGAACCAGCCAAGUAGCGUGCAGGAUGACGGCCCUCCGGGUUGUAAACUGCUUUUAGUUGGGAAUAAAAAGAGGGACGUGUCCCUAAUUGUAUGUACCUUCAGAAAAAGGACCGGCUAAUUCCGUGCCAGCAGCCGCGGUAAUACGGAAGGUCCAGGCGUUAUCCGGAUUUAUUGGGUUUAAAGGGAGCGUAGGCGGAUUAUUAAGUCAGUGGUGAAAGACGGUGGCUCAACCAUCGUUAGCCAUUGAAACUGGUAGUCUUGAGUGCAGACAGGGAUGCUGGAACUCGUGGUGUAGCGGUGAAAUGCUUAGAUAUCACGAUGAACUCCGAUCGCGAAGGCAGGUGUCCAGGCUGCAACUGACGCUGAGGCUCGAAAGUGUGGGUAUCAAACAGGAUUAGAUACCCUGGUAGUCCACACAGUAAAC
This 722-nucleotide ribosomal RNA is filed under the name uncultured bacterium. RNAcentral describes it as "bacterial SSU rRNA". It matches the Rfam family "Bacterial small subunit ribosomal RNA", at positions 102 to 807 of the family's 1533-position model. The record is from RNAcentral.